This 442-nucleotide ribosomal RNA is filed under the name Rothia dentocariosa. Its description in RNAcentral is "bacterial SSU rRNA". It matches the Rfam family "Bacterial small subunit ribosomal RNA", at positions 28 to 478 of the family's 1533-position model. Lineage: Bacteria; Bacillati; Actinomycetota; Actinomycetes; Micrococcales; Micrococcaceae. The record is from RNAcentral.
GACGAACGCUGGCGGCGUGCUUAACACAUGCAAGUCGAACGAUGAAGCCUAGCUUGCUAGGUGGAUUAGUGGCGAACGGGUGAGUAAUACGUGAGUGACCUACCUUUGACUCUGGGAUAAGCCUGGGAAACUGGGUCUAAUACCGGAUACGACCAAUCUCCGCAUGGGGUGUUGGUGGAAAGCGUUAUGGAGUGGUUUUAGAUGGGCUCACGGCCUAUCAGCUUGUUGGUGAGGUAAUGGCUUACCAAGGCGACGACGGGUAGCCGGCCUGAGAGGGUGACCGGCCACACUGGGACUGAGACACGGCCCAGACUCCUACGGGAGGCAGCAGUGGGGAAUAUUGCACAAUGGGCGCAAGCCUGAUGCAGCGACGCCGCGUGAGGGAUGACGGCCUUCGGGUUGUAAACCUCUGUUAGCAUCGAAGAAGCGAAAGUGACGGUAG